UACUUCCAGUAAAGGAGAGAAGCUUAGAAUGCCUCUUGGCAAGGACGGAAGAGGCCCUUGGGCCUAAUAACACACAUGCAGUUAAGGAAAAGCCUUCUUUCAUCCUUGAGUGUCUCUCUUUCUUC
Molecule: small nuclear RNA, 125 nt
Organism: Rattus rattus (black rat)
Lineage: Eukaryota; Metazoa; Chordata; Mammalia; Rodentia; Muridae
Source: RefSeq, a predicted model, not a curated record